AUUGAACGCUGGCGGCAGGCCUAACACAUGCAAGUCGAGCGGAUGAAGGGAGCUUGCUCCUGGAUUCAGCGGCGGACGGGUGAGUAAUGCCUAGGAAUCUGCCUGGUAGUGGGGGAUAACGUCCGGAAACGGGCGCUAAUACCGCAUACGUCCUGAGGGAGAAAGUGGGGGAUCUUCGGACCUCACGCUAUCAGAUGAGCCUAGGUCGGAUUAGCUAGUUGGUGGGGUAAAGGCCUACCAAGGCGACGAUCCGUAACUGGUCUGAGAGGAUGAUCAGUCACACUGCAACUGAGACACGGUCCAGACUCCUACGGGAGGCAGCAGUGGGGAAUAUUGGACAAUGGGCGAAAGCCUGAUCCAGCCAUGCCGCGUGUGUGAAGAAGGUCUUCGGAUUGUAAAGCACUUUAAGUUGGGAGGAAGGGCAGUAAGUUAAUACCUUGCUGUUUUGACGUUACCAACAGAAUAAGCACCGGCGAACUUCGU
RNAcentral lists this ribosomal RNA (483 nucleotides) under uncultured bacterium. Its description in RNAcentral is "partial 16S ribosomal RNA". It matches the Rfam family "Bacterial small subunit ribosomal RNA", at positions 30 to 506 of the family's 1533-position model. The record is from RNAcentral.